AUUCUGCCCAUGCGGGGAAGGAUGAGAAGCUUUGAGCAAGGUUCGACUCGAGCGCCAGCGAGAGAGCGUUGCCGCAGGCAACGACCCGAAGGGCGAAGCGCGCAGCGCUGAGUAAUCCUUCCCCCACCACCA
This 132-nucleotide small RNA is filed under the name Escherichia coli. RNAcentral describes it as "RtT sRNA". It matches the Rfam family "RtT RNA". Rfam says of the family: This family represents a bacterial cis-regulatory element known as RtT RNA. The exact function of RtT is unknown although it is thought that it may be involved in changing the cellular response in relation to amino acid starvation. The record is from RNAcentral. Lineage: Bacteria; Pseudomonadati; Pseudomonadota; Gammaproteobacteria; Enterobacterales; Enterobacteriaceae.